This 352-nucleotide ribosomal RNA is filed under the name uncultured Geobacter sp. RNAcentral's name for it is "bacterial SSU rRNA". It matches the Rfam family "Bacterial small subunit ribosomal RNA", at positions 480 to 831 of the family's 1533-position model. The record is from RNAcentral. Lineage: Bacteria; Pseudomonadati; Thermodesulfobacteriota; Desulfuromonadia; Geobacterales; Geobacteraceae.
CGAUUAGGAAGCACCGGCUAACUCCGUGCCAGCAGCCGCGGUAAUACGGAGGGUGCGAGCGUUGUUCGGAAUUAUUGGGCGUAAAGUGCGUGUAGGCGGUUUGGUAAGUCUGAUGUGAAAGCCCCGGGCUCAACCUGGGAAGUGCAUUGGAAACUGUCAGACUUGAAUACGGGAGAGGGUAGUGGAAUUCCUAGUGUAGGAGUGAAAUCCGUAGAUAUUAGGAGGAACACCGGUGGCGAAGGCGGCUACCUGGACCGAUAUUGACGCUGAGACGCGAAAGCGUGGGGAGCAAACAGGAUUAGAUACCCUGGUAGUCCACGCCGUAAACGAUGAGUACUAGGUGUUGCGGGUA